UGGUCAAGUUAUUAAGGGUGCAGGGCGGAUGCCUUGGCACUAGGAGCCGAUGAAGGACGUGAUAAGCUGCGAUAAGCUUCGGGGAGUUGCACGUAAACUUUGAUCCGAAGAUUUCCGAAUGAGGAAACUCACUUAGAGUAAUGUCUAAGUAUCAUUAAGUGAAUACAUAGCUUAAUGAGGGGAACUCAG
This 189-nucleotide ribosomal RNA is filed under the name Clostridioides difficile. Its description in RNAcentral is "partial 23S ribosomal RNA". It matches the Rfam family "Bacterial large subunit ribosomal RNA", at positions 1 to 188 of the family's 2925-position model. The record is from RNAcentral. Lineage: Bacteria; Bacillati; Bacillota; Clostridia; Peptostreptococcales; Peptostreptococcaceae.